GCCUUUGCAGGGGUCCGGCCGACAACCUAUAUUCAAAUCGCCGGGCUUGCCCGGCUAUGGCGAUAAAUGUCUUGCGCAAUAGGCGUAACGGACCCGGGGGCAGUACCCGGCGCCUCCACCAUCUUCGCCCGCGUGCGAAAGCACGCGGGCGCCUCAUGGGGGCGAACCAGGCUCGACGUGCGUUGAAAGGCAAGAACUUCGCCCGGCAUGGUUCCGCCGUUAUCGGGCCGUAUCAAUAGGUGCCAACGAUAACCAGUUGGCUCUCGCUGCUUAGUUUCUAAGCAAGCGCGGUUCGGGGGGCACCGGGCAACAGAAGCCCCCCACU
This 325-nucleotide transfer-messenger RNA is filed under the name Alphaproteobacteria bacterium. It matches the Rfam family "Alphaproteobacteria transfer-messenger RNA". Rfam says of the family: Bacterial tmRNA, also known as 10Sa RNA or SsrA, is named for its dual tRNA and mRNA-like properties. Its role is to liberate the mRNA from a stalled ribosome. To accomplish this part of the tmRNA is used as a reading frame that ends in a translation stop signal. The record is from RNAcentral. Lineage: Bacteria; Pseudomonadati; Pseudomonadota; Alphaproteobacteria.